AUUGAACGCUGGCGGCAUGCUUUACACAUGCAAGUCGAACGGCAGCGCGGGCUUCGGCCUGGCGGCGAGUGGCGAACGGGUGAGUAAUACAUCGGAACGUGCCCAGUAGUGGAGGAUAGCUCGGCGAAAGCCGGAUUAAUACCGCAUACGACCUGAGGGUGAAAGCGGGGGAUCUUCGGACCUCGCGCUAUUGGAGCGGCCGAUGGCAGAUUAGCUAGUUGGUGGGGUAAAGGCCUACCAAGGCGACGAUCUGUAGCUGGUCUGAGAGGACGACCAGCCACACUGGAACUGAGACACGGCCCAGACUCCUACGGGAGGCAGCAGUGGGGAAUUUUGGACAAUGGGCGAAAGCCUGAUCCAGCAAUGCCGCGUGUGUGAUGAAGGCCUUCGGGUUGUAAAGCACUUUUGGCGGGAACGAAAAGGACUGUGCCAAUACCACGGUUCGAUGACGGUACCCGCAGAAUAAGCACCGGCUAACUACGUG
RNAcentral lists this ribosomal RNA (484 nucleotides) under uncultured bacterium. Its description in RNAcentral is "partial 16S ribosomal RNA". It matches the Rfam family "Bacterial small subunit ribosomal RNA", at positions 29 to 507 of the family's 1533-position model. The record is from RNAcentral.